UACGUAGGGUGCAAGCGUUGUCCGGAAUUAUUGGGCGUAAAGAGCUCGUAGGCGGUUUGUCGCGUCGAAUGUGAAAACCCGGGGCUCAACCCCGGGCCUGCAUUCGAUACGGGCAGACUAGAGUUCGGUAGGGGAGUCUGGAAUUCCUGGUGUAGCGGUGGAAUGCGCAGAUAUCGGGAGGAACACCGGUGGCGAAGGCGGUUCUCUGGGCCUGUACUGACGGCUGAGGAGCGAAAGCGUGGGGAGCGAACAGG
RNAcentral lists this ribosomal RNA (254 nucleotides) under uncultured bacterium. Its description in RNAcentral is "partial 16S ribosomal RNA". It matches the Rfam family "Bacterial small subunit ribosomal RNA", at positions 524 to 776 of the family's 1533-position model. The record is from RNAcentral.